UGCUGCAGCCGCUUUCUGUGCACGUGCACGUUUUUUCCCAUGCUCUGCAGUUUAAAGUUUUCUUUCUGCGCCUGCGAAUGUUCCGGCAAAGUCUGAAAAACUGAGAAAGGAAUACAAGGUUCGCUGCACGGCUGUGGGAUGUGGCAACGCGGGGAGCAACACAAGGGCGAAAUUUUUUCGUUUCCCAGCGGGCGAGAGAUGGUACUUAUGGCGAAAUGGCGCUAAAUGUGGAGUCCAGGCGGGGCUGACAUGGGAGAAGAUGUAUAAUGGCUACGGCCUCUGCGCUCGGAUCACUUCAGAGGAGGGGACUACGCCGACCCUGUCAUGGUCGGCUGUGCCGACUGUUGGAGUGGAAGAGCGAUCCCUGGGGGGGAUCCAUGAAGGCUUAGUUCACACACACGCACGUAUGAAGUGACACGUGACAUCUGACAUUGAUUGACUUGGUUCCGACGCAUCGGUAAGUGC
This is a long non-coding RNA of Dermacentor albipictus, 465 nucleotides long. RefSeq lists it as uncharacterized. Lineage: Eukaryota; Metazoa; Arthropoda; Arachnida; Ixodida; Ixodidae. The record is from RefSeq and is a predicted model, not a curated record.